RNAcentral lists this ribosomal RNA (788 nucleotides) under Lactiplantibacillus plantarum. RNAcentral describes it as "bacterial SSU rRNA". It matches the Rfam family "Bacterial small subunit ribosomal RNA", at positions 80 to 853 of the family's 1533-position model. The record is from RNAcentral. Lineage: Bacteria; Bacillati; Bacillota; Bacilli; Lactobacillales; Lactobacillaceae.
UUUACAUUUGAGUGAGUGGCGAACUGGUGAGUAACACGUGGGAAACCUGCCCAGAAGCGGGGGAUAACACCUGGAAACAGAUGCUAAUACCGCAUAACAACUUGGACCGCAGGGUCCGAGUUUGAAAGAUGGCUUCGGCUAUCACUUUUGGAUGGUCCCGCGGCGUAUUAGCUAGAUGGUGGGGUAACGGCUCACCAUGGCAAUGAUACGUAGCCGACCUGAGAGGGUAAUCGGCCACAUUGGGACUGAGACACGGCCCAAACUCCUACGGGAGGCAGCAGUAGGGAAUCUUCCACAAUGGACGAAAGUCUGAUGGAGCAACGCCGCGUGAGUGAAGAAGGGUUUCGGCUCGUAAAACUCUGUUGUUAAAGAAGAACAUAUCUGAGAGUAACUGUUCAGGUAUUGACGGUAUUUAACCAGAAAGCCACGGCUAACUACGUGCCAGCAGCCGCGGUAAUACGUAGGUGGCAAGCGUUGUCCGGAUUUAUUGGGCGUAAAGCGAGCGCAGGCGGUUUUUUAAGUCUGAUGUGAAAGCCUUCGGCUCAACCGAAGAAGUGCAUCGGAAACUGGGAAACUUGAGUGCAGAAGAGGACAGUGGAACUCCAUGUGUAGCGGUGAAAUGCGUAGAUAUAUGGAAGAACACCAGUGGCGAAGGCGGCUGUCUGGUCUGUAACUGACGCUGAGGCUCGAAAGUAUGGGUAGCAAACAGGAUUAGAUACCCUGGUAGUCCAUACCGUAAACGAUGAAUGCUAAGUGUUGGAGGGUUUCCGCCCUUCAGUGCUGCAGCU